UUGGAGGGCAAGUCUGGUGCCAGCAGCCGCGGUAAUUCCAGCUCCAAUAGCGUAUAUUAAAGUUGUUGCAGUUAAAAAGCUCGUAGUUGAAUUUCGGGGUUCUACCGUUGGUCGGGCUUUGUCUGUACUGGUGUGUAGAAUUUCUACCUUCUGGGGAACCAUCAUGCUAUUAAUUUAGCGUGGUGGGAAACCAGGACCUUUACCUUGAAAAAAUUAGUGUGUUCAAAGCAGGCUUAUGUCUGAAUACAUUAGCGUGGAAUAAUAGGAUAGGACGGUGGUCCUGUUUUGUUGGUUUCUGAAUCACCGUAAUGAUUAAUAGGGAUAGUUGGGGGCGUUAGUAUUCAAUUGUCAGAGGUGAAAUUCUUGGAUUUAUUGAAGACUGACUUCUGCGAAAGCAUUUGCCAAGGAUGUUUUCAUUAAUCAAGAACGAAAGUUAGGGGAUCGAAGACGAUCAGAUACCGUCGUAGUCUUAACCAUAAACUAUGCCGACUAGGGAUCGGACGAUGUUAAUUUUUCUUGACUCGUUCGGCGCCUUACGGGAAAC
RNAcentral lists this ribosomal RNA (544 nucleotides) under uncultured Glomeromycotina. Its description in RNAcentral is "SSU rRNA". It matches the Rfam family "Eukaryotic small subunit ribosomal RNA", at positions 548 to 1098 of the family's 1831-position model. Lineage: Eukaryota; Fungi; Glomeromycota. The record is from RNAcentral.